This 31-nucleotide non-coding RNA is filed under the name Homo sapiens (human). The record is from RNAcentral. Lineage: Eukaryota; Metazoa; Chordata; Mammalia; Primates; Hominidae.
UGCUCUUGAUGUGAUAAGCUCUUCGUGGCUC